This 99-nucleotide non-coding RNA is filed under the name Vibrio caribbeanicus. Its description in RNAcentral is "TPP sequence". It matches the Rfam family "TPP riboswitch aptamer (THI element)". From Rfam's summary of the family: Vitamin B(1) in its active form thiamin pyrophosphate (TPP) is an essential coenzyme that is synthesised by coupling of pyrimidine and thiazole moieties in bacteria. The previously detected thiamin-regulatory element, thi box was extended, resulting in a new, highly conserved RNA secondary structure, the THI element, which is widely distributed in eubacteria and also occurs in some archaea. Lineage: Bacteria; Pseudomonadati; Pseudomonadota; Gammaproteobacteria; Vibrionales; Vibrionaceae. RNAcentral also lists the same sequence under 1 other name. The record is from RNAcentral.
UUCUACUUGUCGGAGUGCCGUUGUGCUGAGACCGUUUAUUCGGGAUCCGUUGAACCUGAUCAGAUUAAUAUCUGCGAAGGGAACAAGAGAGGAAAAUGA